GCGAGAACACGUAGUCAAUCUAACCUGUGGACGAGGAUAACCUCGGGAAACUGAGAAUAAUACUCGAUAGAUCAUUAUGCCUGGAACGGUUUAUGGUUCAAAUGAAUUUCGCCAUAGGAUGGGACUGCGGUCUAUCAGCUUGUUGGUGAUGUAAUGGACCACCAAGGCGAUUACAGAUACGGGCUCUGAGAGGAGAAGCCCGGAGAUGGGUACUGAAACACGGACCCAGGCCCUAUGGGGCGCAGCAGGCGAGAAAACUUUGCAAUGUGCGAAAGCACGACAAGGUUAAUCCGAGUGAUUCCUGCUAAAGGAAUCUUUUGUUAGUCAUAAAACCACUAUUGAAUAAGGGGAGGGCAAGUCUGGUGUCAGCCGCCGCGGUAAUACCAGCUCCCCGAGUGGUCGGGACGAUUAUUGGGCCUAAAGCAUCCGUAGCCUGCUCCGCAGGUCUUCUGUUAAAUUCAACGGCUUAACCGUUGAGCUGCAGGAGAUACCACGGGGCUAGGAGGCGGAAGAGGUAGACGGUACUCCAUGGGUAGGGGUAAAAUCCUUUGAUCCAUGGAAGACCACCAGUGGCGAAGGCGGUCUACCAGAACGCGCUCGACGGUGAGGGAUGAAAGCUGGGGGAGCGAACCGGAUUAGAUACCCGGGUAGUCCCAGCCGU
RNAcentral lists this ribosomal RNA (661 nucleotides) under uncultured archaeon. Its description in RNAcentral is "bacterial SSU rRNA". It matches the Rfam family "Archaeal small subunit ribosomal RNA", at positions 90 to 754 of the family's 1478-position model. The record is from RNAcentral.